Molecule: ribosomal RNA, 506 nt
Filed under: uncultured bacterium
Lineage: Bacteria
Description: bacterial SSU rRNA
Rfam family: Bacterial small subunit ribosomal RNA
Source: RNAcentral
UGGCUCAGGACGAACGCUGGCGGCGUGCCUAACACAUGCAAGUCGAACGGGACUUGGCCCUUCGGGGACAAGUUUAGUGGCGGACGGGUGAGUAACGCGUGAGCAACCUGCCUUUCAGAGGGGGACAACAGUUGGAAACGACUGCUAAUACCGCAUGACGCUUUUAGGAGGCAUCUCCAAAAAGUCAAAGAUUUAUCGCUGAAAGAUGGGCUCGCGUCUGAUUAGAUAGUUGGUGGGGUAACGGCCUACCAGGUCAACGAUCAGUAGCCGGACUGAGAGGUUGAACGGCCACAUUGGGACUGAGAUACGGCCCAGACUCCUACGGGAGGCAGCAGUGGGGAAUAUUGGGCAAUGGGGGAAACCCUGACCCAGCAACGCCGCGUGAAGGAAGAAGGCCUUCGGGUUGUAAACUUCUUUUACCAGGGACGAAGAACGUGACGGUACCUGGAGAAAAAGCCACGGCUAACUACGUGCCAGCAGCCGCGGUAAUACGUAGGUGGCAAGCG